GCCAGGGUAGCUCAGUUGGUUAGAGCACAGGACUCAUAAGCCUGCGGUCGCCGGUUCGAAUCCGGCCCCUGGUACCA
Molecule: transfer RNA, 77 nt
Filed under: Candidatus Saccharimonadota bacterium
Lineage: Bacteria; Candidatus Saccharimonadota
Description: tRNA-Met
Rfam family: tRNA
About the family: Transfer RNA (tRNA) molecules are approximately 80 nucleotides in length.
Source: RNAcentral